RNAcentral lists this ribosomal RNA (459 nucleotides) under uncultured bacterium. RNAcentral describes it as "partial 16S ribosomal RNA". It matches the Rfam family "Bacterial small subunit ribosomal RNA", at positions 338 to 795 of the family's 1533-position model. The record is from RNAcentral.
CCUACGGGUGGCUGCAGUGAGGAAUAUUGGUCAAUGGGCGGAAGCCUGAACCAGCCAAGUAGCGUGCGGGAUGAAGGCCCUACGGGUUGUAAACCGCUUUUGCACGGGGAUAACACACUCCACGUGUGGAGGUCUGCAGGUACCGUGCGAAUAAGGGCCGGCUAAUUCCGUGCCAGCAGCCGCGGUAAUACGGAAGGCCCGAGCGUUAUCCGGAUUCAUUGGGUUGAAAGGGUGCGUAGGCGGGCGUUCAAGUCAGUGGUUAAAUGGCGGGGCUCAACCGCGCCCCGCAGUUGAAACUGGACGCCUUGAGUUCACAAGAGGCAGGCGGAAUACGUGGUGUAGCGGUGAAAUGCAUAGAUAUCACGAGGAACCCCGAUUGCGAAGGCAGCCUGCCGGGGUGCGACUGACGCUGAGGCUCGAAGGUGCGGGUAUCAAACAGGAUUAGAUACCCUUGUAGUC